CAACUUCUUAUAUAAAAAAAAUAGCAACUGGGAGAAAGAACUGAAAAAUAGAAAUUAGAACCGGUUCAAAUUCUCCGAGGCCCGAAUAAUUCGACGCUGUUGACUACAUAUAUUGCCAAAUAUUCUGACGGAAAAGUUCAAUCUUGAACGAAUGAAUGAUUCUUCACACUUGUUUUCGUAUUCAGCAAGCGAAGCGAAAACCCUUUUGAUAUUUUUAGCGUGGAGCAGAAGUAAGAUCCUCAAUUUAUGAAAACCCUUUUAGUUUUAUAGAAGUUUGCUUAAGGAUUGAGUUUUUGACCAUGGCUGCAAAAAGAGCAAGACUGCAAAGUAGAAUAGAGCUAGAGAAUUUUAAGGGGAAAGACACCUUGGGGGUUGACAUGAUAUCGACGCUACCUGAUCAUAUUAUAUAUCACAUUCUUUCUUUCGUUUCCACCCUUGAUGUUAUCCGGAUGAGCCUCCUUUCCAGACAUUGGAGAAACAUGUGGUGCUCCAUCCCUGUAUUGAACUUUUGCGACUCUAGUGAUAUUGGAAUGAACUUUGAUCGACUGAAGUUCUAUAAGUUUGUAAUCCAUUGUUUGGAUCAACGUAGGAUAGAUAUGCUCAAGAAUACUAACAUGGCUAUGACUAGAUUUAAGCUUGACUUGAAGUGUUAUUAUCCUUUGAGCACUGGCACCAUAGAUUUUUUGUUGGGUUCCGCAUGCUGUUUUAGUAAGCUAAAGGAGUUAGAUCUCUGCAUCAGAUCAAAAGGGAAUCGGAAGUUGUACUACUUGCAUCCUGGUAUAUUUUCUAACAGCCCUUUGACUUCUGUAAAGUUGUGUGGUAUCAUGUUGGAUGGUCAAAAUUCUGCUCCUAUCUGUGUACCAUCUUUGAUAUAUUUGUCAUUAGAGAGUGUUGGAUUGGAUGAUCGUAUACUUCACAAUAUAUUAACUAGAUGCUGUUCCCUUGAGAAAUUGGUUUUUAAGGAAUGCACGAAGUUGCUGAAUCCUAGAGUUUCAAAUAUGAGCCUUAAGUAUUUGGAAAUUGUUCAAGGGUCUUGUGAAGUAACAUUUCAAGUCGAAGCUAUGAAUCUGCAGUCCCUUGUGUAUGAUGGAGGUCCUAACUACUGUGACCUCAAUCUUUCAUCUUGUGGAGCACUUCGACAUCUUUCACUAUCUAACAUGAGGCUCAAGGAUCAGUGGUUGGAAGGUCUAACUUUUGAAGUGCCUCUUCUUGAGAGUUUGAGUCUAUGUGACUGUAGGUUUUCGCAUAUCAAAAUCUUGAGUGAGCACCUGAAACACUUUGUUUUCAGAGGAAACAAAUUCUGUCACGCAUUGGAAGCUAUUAUCCACACACCUAAUUUAGUCUUCUUUAGCUUUGACGGGGAUUUGUCAUUCAUUUUUUCAAUGAUUGCACCAAAUAUCUUGCAAUCAAAUAUCAAACUUCAGAAUCCUGCGACUCAUGAUACACAAUGGUAUUUCAGUCUUCUAGAUUUUCUUAUAAAUCUUGAUUUCUCCAAGAGCGUGUGUCUACAUGUUUAUUCAGAAGAGGAUCUCAUUUUUCCUCGUAGCUUUAAAAGAAUCUGCCGGACUCCUUUGCCUUCUCUCAAGCAUCUGAAGGUAAAGAUUGAUUGCCCUCUGUCAAGAGACUCUGACUUAAGAGAUGCAUUACUUUGGGUUUCACCUUCAUUGGAGACUUUAUCAAUAGAGCAAAACCCUGGGAUGGUUGUUGAGUUAGAUUGAUUCUGGCUUAAAGAAGAGGUUUAGAAAAGCUUUAGUCAAAUUUGUUUUCUUGCCAUUUGGAGAAGUUUCGUUUGAACCAAUAUUACAUGCUGAAUUUUAGCAGAGAAAUAAGUAUGAGGGUUGGUUGACUUUACAAAUUCGGAAGUAAUAUGACUGUGACUUGGUGGGUCUGAAAUGUUGGUGCAGGAGAAAUAAACGAAGCUUAAUUUAGUCUAACUAUAUGGAAAAUGGGACUUGGAUAAGAGGAUAUAUGGUAGUGAUGAUGCGACUUUGCUUCUGAGUUGGCAAGAGAGGGUUGAAGUUUUGAAAGACGUAGCUUCUGGGGUUCUAUGUUUGCAUGAGUGUUGGGAAGCUAAGGUCUUGCAUAGGGAUAUCAAGUCUAGUAAUGUAUUGCUUGACAAGGACUUUGAUUGCUAUAAUGCACCACCAUUAUCAUAUAGCCAGCAUCACAAGAGUGACUGGUACGGGGAUAUGGUGUCAGAAUUUGUUCAAAUCAGACGGGCCUCAGUUUAAACAUACGUGCUUAACUUUGUAGCGGUUUUAAAGGUAGUACGAGGGAGAAGAAGACCGAUUGAACAAAGCUUGCCAUGUUUGGUGGAAUGGAGACAAGAGGAGCUUCUUUCAGCUCUUGAUGUGCUGCUGGUGACCAAAGGUGGUAGAUACAACAUAUAAGAAGCUGAGAAACUGCACUCUUGGGCCUUGUUCUCAACUGCUCUUUUGGGGCAUGUUGUGUGUGAAUCAUGAACCUCGGCUGUGGCCUGUAGACGAGGAGGAGGCAUGCGGUGACGUUGUUGAUUACGCUGAAAAGGAAAAUAUGACGGUGAAAUUAAUGUGGAAAGAUAGAGUGCACUUUUUAGUCUUGUUGGAGCUUUGGUGUAAGAGGAGCAAACUCUAUUCUCUCCCUUUUCUAUUUCGUUUCUCUAGAUGAAUUGGAUUUUAUUCAUGAGGGCCGGUAACAAUGUGGGAUUUGUAGUCUUAUGGUUAAUAAUUUUGACAAUGGAGUACUUUUUAAUAUGACUAUGGGAUGACUUAUUUUAUGUA
Molecule: RNA transcript, 2759 nt
Organism: Humulus lupulus (European hop)
Lineage: Eukaryota; Viridiplantae; Streptophyta; Magnoliopsida; Rosales; Cannabaceae
Gene name: F-box/LRR-repeat protein At3g58900-like
Exons: 5
Source: RefSeq, a predicted model, not a curated record